GUGGUCAAGUUUCUAAGAGCAAACGGUGGAUGCCUUGGCAUCUGGAGCCGAAGAAGGACGUAGAAAUCUGCGAUAAGCCUCGGGGAGCUGAUAAUCGAGCCCUGAUCCGAGGAUUUCCGAAUGGGGAAACCCCGCUGGGCGCUUUUGUGACCUGGUGACUCCCGCCUGAAUAUAUAGGGCGGGUAGAGGGAACGUGGGGAAGUGAAACAUCUCAGUACCCACAGGAAGAGAAAACAACAUGUGAUUCCGUGAGUAGUGGCGAGCGAAAGCGGAUGAGGCUAAACCGAUCAUGUGUGAUAGCCGGCGGGCGUUGCAUGGUCGGGGUUGUGGGACACGUCACUCAGUUCUGCCGGACUGGGGCGGUUACAGCGCAUCAUAGUCGAACCGGUUUGAAAGCCGGGCCGUAGUGGGUGCCAGCCCCGUAGACGAAAUGGUGUUAUGGCCGGAUGUGUAUCCCAAGUAGCACGGGGCCCGAGAAAUCCCGUGUGAAUCUGUCAGGACCACCUGAUAAGCCUAAAUACUCCCAGAUGACCGAUAGCGGACAAGUACCGUGAGGGAAAGGUGAAAAGUACCCCGGGAGGGGAGUGAAAUAGUACCUGAAACCGUUUGCUUACAAACCGUCGGAGCCUCCUUAGUAGGGGUGACGGCGUGCCUUUUGAAGAAUGAGCCUGCGAGUUAGUGAUAUGUGGCGAGGUUAACCCGUGUGGGGCAGCCGUAGCGAAAGCGAGUCUGAAUAGGGCGUUUGAGUCGCAUGUUCUAGACCCGAAGCGAAGUGAUCUAUCCAUGGCCAGGUUGAAGCGACGGUAAGACGUCGUGGAGGACCGAACCCACUUCAGUUGAAAAUGGAGGGGAUGAGCUGUGGAUAGGGGUGAAAGGCCAAUCAAACUUCGUGAUAGCUGGUUCUCUCCGAAAUGCAUUUAGGUGCAGCGUUGCGUGUUUCUCGCCGGAGGUAGAGCUACUGGAUGGCCGAUGGGCCUCAACAGGUUACUGACGUCAGCCAAACUCCGAAUGCCGGUGAGUGAGAGCGCAGCAGUGAGACGGUGGGGGAUAAGCUUCAUCGUCGAGAGGGAAACAACCCAGACUACCAACUAAGGUCCCUAAGCGUGUGCUAAGUGGGAAAGGAUGUGGAGUUGCAUAGACAACCAGGAGGUUGGCUUAGAAGCAGCCACCCUUGAAAGAGUGCGUAAUAGCUCACUGGUCAAGUGAUUCCGCGCCGACAAUGUAACGGGGCUCAAGCACACCACCGAAGUUGUAGAUUUCGCACACUCGACAAGCCUUCGUGGUUCAGUCGUGCGGAGUGGUAGGAGAGCGUCGUGUGGCGAGUGAAGCGGCGGAGUGAUCCAGCCGUGGACGCUACACGAGUGAGAAUGCAGGCAUGAGUAGCGAAAGACGGGUGAGAAACCCGUCCUCCGAAAGACCAAGGGUUCCAGGGCCAGGUUAAUCCGCCCUGGGUAAGUCGGGACCUAAGGCGAGGCCGACAGGCGUAGUCGAUGGACAACGGGUUGAUAUUCCCGUACCGGCGAACAACCGCCCAAGCUAAUCCAGUGGUGCUAAGAGUCCUAACCCGGAUCAACCGGAUCCCUUCGGGGUGAUGGUGGCCGGUCUAACGCUCGACCCCAUGCUGGUGCGGUUAGCGUAUGAACAGGUGUGACGCAGGAAGGUAGCUGAGCCAGGCGAUGGUAUCCGUAAGGUGAACCUGGUGUAAGGAUGUAGGGCUGACGAUAGGCAAAUCCGUCGUCUGU
Molecule: ribosomal RNA, 1742 nt
Filed under: Curtobacterium sp. PhB170
Lineage: Bacteria; Bacillati; Actinomycetota; Actinomycetes; Micrococcales; Microbacteriaceae
Description: bacterial LSU rRNA
Rfam family: Bacterial large subunit ribosomal RNA
Source: RNAcentral